CGAACGGGUGAGUAACACGUGAGUAACCUGCCCACAACUUUGGGAUAACGCUAGGAAACUGGUGCUAAUACUGGAUAUGUGCUCCUGCUGCAUGGUGGGGGUUGGAGAGCUCCGGCGGUUGUGGAUGGACUCGCGGCCUAUCAGCUUGUUGGUGGGGUAGUGGCCUACCAAGGCGGCGACGGGUAGCCGGCCUGAGAGGGUGACCGGCCACAUUGGGACUGAGAUACGGCCCAG
This 234-nucleotide ribosomal RNA is filed under the name uncultured Actinomycetales bacterium. Its description in RNAcentral is "partial 16S ribosomal RNA". It matches the Rfam family "Bacterial small subunit ribosomal RNA", at positions 99 to 334 of the family's 1533-position model. Lineage: Bacteria; Bacillati; Actinomycetota; Actinomycetes; Actinomycetales. The record is from RNAcentral.